GAUGAACGCUAGCUACAGGCUUAACACAUGCAAGUCGAGGGGCAGCGGGAUUUACGCUUGCUUCAAUUGCCGGCGACCGGCGCACGGGUGAGUAACGCGUAUCCAACCUUCCGUACACUCACGGAUAGCCUUUCGAAAGGAAGAUUAAUACUAAAUAGUUUGAAGAGAUUGCAUGAUAUCAUCAUUAACGAUUUAUUGGUGUACGAAGGGGGUGCGUUUCUUUAGGUAGUAGGCGGGGUAACGGCCCACCAAGCCAACGAUGGAUAGGGGUACUGAGAGGAAGGUCCCCGACAUUGGAACUCGGACACGGUCCAAACGCCUACGGGCAGCAGCAGUGAGGAAGAUUGGGAAAUGGACGUGAGUCUGAACCAGCCAAGUAGCGUGAAGGAUGAAGGUCUUACAGAUUGUAAUCGUCUUAUAUGAGGGAAGAAACCCGCCCACGUGUGAGAGCGUGUAUGUACCUUAUGAGAAAGCAACGGCUAACUCCGUG
This 490-nucleotide ribosomal RNA is filed under the name uncultured bacterium. Its description in RNAcentral is "partial 16S ribosomal RNA". It matches the Rfam family "Bacterial small subunit ribosomal RNA", at positions 28 to 507 of the family's 1533-position model. The record is from RNAcentral.